AUGUGCGAUAUCCAUGGACAAUUAGUACCAGCGCUCAUCGAUACAGGUGAAGUUUUGCCUUCGUUCAAGCGGACAAGUACUCCCAUCAAGCUCCUGCUGAAAUUGCGAUUGGAAAAAGAAGAACAGUUUGCUCGAACGCCAACUGCCAAGAGUAAGCUGUGGGUUUCCAUCGCUAAUUCUAUGGCUGAGCAAGGAUACUUUGUCAGUGAACCUGCUUGCGAUGCCAAGUAUCGUAAUCUCAAAAGUACCUAUCAAAACAUGCGUUUGCGCCUAUUAAAAACUGGUGAAGCGAGAGAGAUCGAUGGAAAAACUGAGGAAUCGCCCAGUUGGGAGUUUUACGCUUUGUUCAGGGACAACAUAGGGACAAAAGCAAGCGUUGAGCCGGACGAGGGUCUGUUAGGAGGAGCCUUUAAUCAGGCUGAAAAACCAGCUACACACGACACAUCCUUUGGGUAAGAAAGUUCUCCUGAAGAAGGGAAAACUGGAAUGUUUUCGAAAGGUAAACGAAAGAGAGUGAAGACACAACCAGAACUAACCGUAAAACAGUAUCUUCGUCAAAAAAAUGCACAGGAUUAUUUGGACCACGUUUACGCAUUUAACACGAUCUAGGUAUGCAGUCCCCAAACAACAACUAGUCAAUUGGCAUGCUGAAGUAGAUUCGUAGCUGAAAACGAGGAAGUUUCUAGUUUACCCCUACAGAAUUUUUUAACCCGGAGGAAACAGAGAUAGAUCCGGAACGCCCAGCACCUACUAUUGUUGAAGGUAAUAGUGUAGUAACAGACCCCUAACGGAUCUUCAAUGGAGAUGAAGCUGCUUUUUUUUUAAAAUCCGAAAGGCUCUAAAGUCAUUGUUGCCAGAGGUGAAAAAUGUGUUUAUCACGUGGUAAAUACAGACGAAAAAGAGUGUCUCACCGUUAUGAUGACUGCAAAUGCUGCUGGUGACAUAGUGGAUCCUUUGAUUGUCUUUAAAUACACACGAGUACCAGAUGGAAUUGCAAAAAUUAUUCCAAAAAACUGGGCUAUAGGAAGGUCGCAGAAUGGUUGGUUUUUCAGACACUGACUCAUGGUUUGUUAUUCUCUUACUUUUAUGUAACUUAAGUGCCAUUCAGGAUUGUUCGCAAAAGCGUUGCUCUGAUUUUCUUUGCUUGAUCUCCUUUUUUAUUUACUAUUAAGUGCAACGUGUUCUGCUAUGCAUAGCUCACGUAAAACGUAAUAAGCUUAUUUACUUUCUUUACUGAAAGUGUUCUUAAAAGUCAGAAGUGCUAUUUUUUAGUUACUUACCUAUAAACUAAAAUUCUGAGUUUGCUCAAAGAUUAUAACUCAAUAAGUGUAAGCAUGUUAAUUUAUUUUUAAAUGUAACUUUCAACAUGAGCUUUCAAUACCCUUUAAAGUUUACUUUUGAUUACUAAAGACUUUAUGAUAGUUCCAAGAGCAAUUCAGCGAACAAUUUAGGGAAAAUUAUUUUUAUUCCAGUAUUUUUGUUGCUUUAAUAUAAUAAAAUAUUUGUUCUUUCAACUCUAUGAUCUUCUCUCAUUACCAUGAACGUAUAAUUUAAAACUUUAAAAUUUUCUGCUUCUUCAAUUUCUUUAAGCUGUCAAAAUUACGUCCCAACACUUGUAGGAGGAAGAAGAUGGAGAAUUUGGCUGGUUUGAAGCCGCUUCUUAAUGACUCGUUCCUUGAUGAUUGAAUGGCGAAGCUUUCUAUGGAUCGCCAACAAUCGUCUUCCGAAUUCCGAAUAAUUUUUCUUCAAAAUCUAGAAGUGAUUCUCUGCCUCCUUAUCUUAGUCUCAAUUUAGUCAUUUGCCAAAAUUAGUGGAUACGACAAAUAUAAUCACUCUCCUCAAAAAAGAAAGCAAUCAAUGAUUGACUGUCAGGCAAAUUACAAUCCCCUCAAAGAACUUUAAGUUGAUGAAAAAUUUCACUUUAAGAAAACUCCGAGAGAUGUCUGGCAACCUGCACAAUUAUUCAAAAAUGUAAAGAGCCUAACUUUUAUGAACUUCAAACUUCAUCAGGUAAAGUUUAUAGGCACACCCGCCUCCACAUUAAAAAAGGUGCCACAAAAACCUCUUUUAGUUUUGAGGAUUCUGACAUAAAAAGUGAAUCUUGCAAUAACCUCGUCUCUAAUUCUCUCAAAAAUCAGAAUAUUCUAGAACCCAAAUCUGAUCAAAGUCAACACCAGUUGAAAAUACUGUUAAAGCCAUCUGCUGUUAAACCGGCAACUAUAAAUCUUGUGCCCAUCACACUCAGUGACAGUGUGUUAAAUGAUGGUAAACACUUUAAGUAUUAUGUGUUAUGUUAAUAAGUUGUUACAUAAGUCGUAUCUAAUUAUAUAGACUUUCCAAAAAUCCACACUUGUGAACCUCGUGAAAUUUUUGUUAAAUUUAGUUCUUAUGAAGUCAAAGAAAAGCUGCAAGAGAACUUUGGGAAGAAAUUUAAAACAGGUAUGCCUUUGAACAUGGUCUUAGUUAAAAAUACCGAAGCAAGUAAUAAGAAUAAUGAUGGCACUAGAAUCUGGGUUAAGGACCGCUUGACGCCUAAAAGAAAUUUCCUUUUGAGGCUUGCGAAGAAACUCUUAAGGAGGGGAAACUUAAGUUUGCAUGGGUAAAAAGAGGUAGUAUCCUUAUUAAGGUACAUGAGGAUUUCCCAGUUAAAAUAGUCUUAAGCGAAACUGAUAUCCUUGAUGAGCUCAAAAAUGUUACGGCCGCCAAUGCAACUGCUUCAAGUGCAGACACACCAUCCAAGUAAAUCAGGAAAUCUUUAACCUUUAACAUGCCUCGCAUAAACAUUAAAUUAAUUUCCAAGUCCUCCCCCCCCCCCCCGGAACUGAGUUCUAUUCAUAGCGAAAUAUAAGUCUGGUCAUAAUUGUAUUGUUACUUAAAGAAUUUGGCAGAUUCUAAUAAGGUUGGUGGAAUCUAGUCCACUAAUAUGUUCCUCAGUACCUAAAGUAAUUUGUAAAUUUACUGUGCAAGCCGCGGUUUGAUUAUCCUAUCUCUUUCGUCUACACCCGCAUCUAACAUCUUGCACCUGAUCUCAUUAGUAUAAUAGCUAUGACUUAAUUAUGUAAUUUAAUUUUUUUGAACUUAUUACUUAUGGUGAUUCGUCAAGCUCAAGUGACAUGGUCGAACUGCCAUGCUGCGCUAUUUUUGAGAAAAAUCUAUUUCUUUACACGACGAAGGGCACUGUCAAACACGCAUGCUUUAUAACUUGUCGCGGUAUUUUAUUGUGGAGUCGGCCGAGUUUAAACUCGUUUACGGACCCGAAAGAACCGGAUACAAUUUAUAUUGCUCCGCCGCACCAAAACAAUGUGUCAAUUUCAAAACCGCUAUGUUCAAUUGCUGACGCUUGGAACAGCAUCACAGAGAUGAACAGAGUGGGUUACCCGUGGUUAGCCAUGAUGAGAUUCACAGAAGAAGCUAUUCAAUUAACGGAGUAUUGUAGCGUAUGAAGUCGCGAACAAUUUCUAAGGAAUGAUAUCAGCAGUGAGCUGAGUGGGAUUAUAAGUAAUACAAAAGCAAGUUUACGAAACUUUUUUUUAAAACUUAAUGUAAUUUUUCAAAAGCUAACUG
RNAcentral lists this long non-coding RNA (3564 nucleotides) under Bemisia tabaci. RNAcentral describes it as "lncRNA ENSASIAIIG002091". The record is from RNAcentral. Lineage: Eukaryota; Metazoa; Arthropoda; Insecta; Hemiptera; Aleyrodidae.